UCAAAGGAUAUGGAAUCAGGGACAUGGGAGAUCCCAAAUUCAAAGUCGGGGCCUUUAUUGGAGGACAAAAUUCGAUUGGGAAGUGCACACUUAGGAUCACUACUUCAGCAGUUGGAUGCAAUUUUCGCGGCCAGUGCUGUGUUCGUAAGGAGAAAUCCAACGGCGAAAUUGUGGUCUCUGGUUUACCUUGUAUGCCUACACUUUUGGGUCAUUUACAUUCUUUUUACACAUUCACAAGCAUCAAAUGAGGGCAGAUCUGGAGCUAUUAUAUCCUUGGAAAACAUCAACAAUACUGCAGAUGUAUAGUGUGUCUUCGGGCAACUACUUUAACCUAGACCUUAUAUAAAAAGCAAGCCUAGCAGCCUUUUAUAUUCAAAUAUUUGUAUUCAGGUCCGUGCAUUUGUUAUUUCAAUUAUGUGUAUACCUAAAUUGACUUUACACGAAUCUUAAUAUAAAUAUUUGAUCUAAAAAUUAAUAGCUUCGUUCUUAUAUAA
This 494-nucleotide unclassified non-coding RNA is filed under the name Hevea brasiliensis (rubber tree). The record is from RNAcentral. Lineage: Eukaryota; Viridiplantae; Streptophyta; Magnoliopsida; Malpighiales; Euphorbiaceae.